This 821-nucleotide ribosomal RNA is filed under the name uncultured fungus. Its description in RNAcentral is "eukaryotic LSU rRNA". The stretch from base 537 to 821 matches the Rfam family "Eukaryotic large subunit ribosomal RNA", at positions 1 to 288 of the family's 3401-position model. The record is from RNAcentral. Lineage: Eukaryota; Fungi.
CAUUACCGAGUUUACAACUCCCAAACCCAAUGUGAACGUUACCAAACUGUUGCCUCGGCGGGAUCUCUGCCCCGGGUGCGUCGCAGCCCCGGACCAAGGCGCCCGCCGGAGGACCAACCCAAAACUCUUAUUGUAUACCCCUCGCGGGUUUUUUAUAAUCUGAGCCUUCUCGGCGCCUCUCGUAGGCGUUUCGAAAAUGAAUCAAAACUUUCAACAACGGAUCUCUUGGUUCUGGCAUCGAUGAAGAACGCAGCGAAAUGCGAUAAGUAAUGUGAAUUGCAGAAUUCAGUGAAUCAUCGAAUCUUUGAACGCACAUUGCGCCCGCCAGUAUUCUGGCGGGCAUGCCUGUCCGAGCGUCAUUUCAACCCUCGAACCCCUCCGGGGGGUCGGCGUUGGGGAUCGGCCUCCUCUCACGGGGGCCGUCUCCGAAAUACAGUGGCGGUCUCGCCGCAGCCUCUCCUGCGCAGUAGUUUGCACACUCGCAUCGGGAGCGCGGCGCGUCCACAGCCGUUAAACACCCCAAACUUCUGAAAUGUUGACCUCGGAUCAGGUAGGAAUACCCGCUGAACUUAAGCAUAUCAAUAAGCGGAGGAAAAGAAACCAACAGGGAUUGCCCCAGUAACGGCGAGUGAAGCGGCAACAGCUCAAAUUUGAAAUCUGGCCCCUAGGGUCCGAGUUGUAAUUUGUAGAGGAUGCUUUUGGUGAGGUGCCGCCCGAGUUCCCUGGAACGGGACGCCACAGAGGGUGAGAGCCCCGUCUGGCUGGCCACCGAGCCUCUGUAAAGCUCCUUCGACGAGUCGAGUAGUUUGGGAAUGCUGCUC